Molecule: non-coding RNA, 31 nt
Filed under: Homo sapiens (human)
Lineage: Eukaryota; Metazoa; Chordata; Mammalia; Primates; Hominidae
Source: RNAcentral
CAAUGUGCUGGCAAAGACUCUUACCGGAGGA